AAGGCUCUCUCCCAAGCCUUCAAAGAUGUCAAGCAGCCCAUUGUAUGACAGAGAGUUGAAUCCAGGGCGCCAUGAAGACAACCAUGUGCUCUCAUUCGAUGCAGCUGUUCGGUCGGUGUCUCAAGAAUUCGAUCACUUCAAGGAGAUUCCUGAAGAAGACCAGUUUGAUAAGAGAAGCCCUGCUUCAAGAGAAUUCAGAGAGAUCGAGGAAGAACCAGAAACCAGCAAACCUGCUCACACAUUUGAUUCUGGUCUUGGCAACUCAAUUUCAAUUUCUCAGCAUCAAACCCUUGAUAAUGGAUCAGCCUCUGAGAUAUGUCCGGAGAUUAAAG
Molecule: unclassified non-coding RNA, 332 nt
Filed under: Hevea brasiliensis (rubber tree)
Lineage: Eukaryota; Viridiplantae; Streptophyta; Magnoliopsida; Malpighiales; Euphorbiaceae
Source: RNAcentral